Molecule: ribosomal RNA, 440 nt
Filed under: uncultured bacterium
Lineage: Bacteria
Description: partial 16S ribosomal RNA
Rfam family: Bacterial small subunit ribosomal RNA
Source: RNAcentral
CCUACGGGAGGCAGCAGUGGGGAAUAUUGCACAAUGGGGGAAACCCUGAUGCAGCGACGUCGCGUGAAGGAAGAAGUAUCUCGGUAUGUAAACUUCUAUCUGCAGGGAAGUAAAUGACGGUACCUGUCGAAGUAGCCACGGCUAACUACGUGCCAGCAGCCGCGGUAAUACGUAGGGGGCAAGCGUUAUCCGGAUUUACUGGGUGUAAAGGGAGCGUAGGCGGUUUAGCAAGUCAGAAGUGAAAGCCCGCGGCUCAACUCUGAGACUGCAUGUGAAACUGUUGAACUAGAUUGCAGGAGAGGUAAGUGGAAUUCGUAGUGUAGCGGUGAAAUGCGUAGAUAUUAGGAAGAACACCAGUGGCGAAGGCAGCUUACUGGACUGUAAAUGACGCUGAGGCUCGAAAGCGUGGGGAGCAAACAGGAUUAGAUACCCGAGUAGUC